Molecule: ribosomal RNA, 1686 nt
Filed under: Triticum aestivum (bread wheat)
Lineage: Eukaryota; Viridiplantae; Streptophyta; Magnoliopsida; Poales; Poaceae
Description: partial small subunit ribosomal RNA
Source: RNAcentral
AUGACUACCUCGUCGUCAGGGAGCGUGGAGACGUCGGCCAAUUCGAGGCCCGGCUCCUUCUCCUUCGGGAGCGCGAGCUUCACUGAAAUGCUGGGCGGCUCCGCCGCGGCCGGCGGUGCGUCCGGGUACAAGGCCCUGACCCCGCCUUCCCUGCCGCUCUCGCCUUCGCUCAUGUCCCCGUCGUCCUUCUUCAGCAUGCCCGCCGGCAUGAACCUCGCCGACUUCCUCGACUCCCCGGUGCUCCUCACCUCCAGCAUCUUCCCGUCACCCACGACGGGCGCGUUCGGGUCGCAGUUCAACUGGCGGCCGGAGGCGCCGACGCCGAGCGCCGCCGAGCAGGGCGGCAAGGAGGAGCAGAGGCAGCCCUACUCCGACUUCUCGUUCCAGACGGCGCCGGCGAACACCGAGGAGGCCGCGCGUGCGACGACGACUAGCUUGCAGCCACCGGUUGCAGUGGCGUCACAGGGGGAGGAGGCGUACACAGGCCAGCAGCCGCCGCAGCAGCAGGCGUGGGGGUACGGCCAGCAACAAGAAGGCAUGGACGCGAGUGCCUCCAACCCGGCGAGCUUCAGCGCGCCGGCGCUCCAGGCGACCUCGUCGGAGAUGGCGCCGGCGGGCGCCUACAGGCAGACGCACUCGCAGAGGCGGUCGUCGGACGACGGGUACAACUGGCGCAAGUACGGGCAGAAGCAGGUGAAGGGGAGCGAGAACCCCCGCAGCUACUACAAGUGCACCUUCCCCAACUGCCCCACCAAGAAGAAGGUGGAGACGUCGCUGGAGGGCCAGAUCACCGAGAUCGUCUACAAGGGCACGCACAACCACGCCAAGCCGCUCAACACGCGCCGGGGCUCCGGCGGCGGCGCGGCCGCGGCUCAGGUGCUGCAGAGCGGCGGCGACGCGUCCGAGAAUUCCUUCGGCGCGAUCGUCACGACGCCCGAGAACUCGUCGGCGUCCUUCGGGGACGACGACAACAACGGCGUGAGCUCGCCGCGGGCUGGCAACGACAACGACGAUGAUGAGCCGGAUUCCAAGAGGAGGAAAGACGGUGGUGACGGCGAGGGAAUCAACAUGGCCGGCAACCGGACGGUGCGGGAGCCGAGGGUGGUCGUCCAGACCAUGAGCGACAUCGACAUCCUCGACGACGGGUACCGGUGGAGGAAGUACGGGCAGAAGGUGGUGAAGGGCAACCCGAACCCGCGCAGCUACUACAAGUGCACCACCGUGGGGUGCCCCGUGCGGAAGCACGUGGAGCGCGCGUCCCACGACCUGCGCGCCGUGAUCACCACGUACGAGGGCAAGCACAACCACGACGUGCCGGCCGCCAGGGGGAGCGCCGCGCUCUACCGCCCCGCGCCCCGGGCGGCGGACAGCACCGCGAGCACCGGCCACUACCUUAACCCGCAGCCGUCCGCCAUGGCGUACCAAACCAGCACGGGAGGCCCCAACGUCGCCGCCGCCGGGACGCAGCAGUACGCGCCGAGGCCCGACGGGUUCGGCGGCCAGAACCAGGGCUCGUUCGGCUUCAACGGCAGCUUCGGCUUCUCCGGGCCCGGGUUCGACAACCCGACGGCGUCGUACAUGAGCCAGCACCAGCAGCAGCAGAGGCAGAACGACGCGAUGCACGCGUCGAGCGCCAAGGAGGAGCCGAGGGAGGAGGACAUGUUCUUCCAGAACUCCCAGUACUGA